AACCAUUCUCACCUGCGGCUAGACCUGCGGAAGGAUCAUUAUAGAGUGCUAAACUCCAUACCUUUGUGAACUUAUAGUUGUUGCUUCGGCGGGCUAGGCUCCCUAGACCGCCGGGGACCCAAACCAUUGCCUUCUAGCGGAAUCUUCUGAGUGAAAACAAAUACAUUAAAACUUUUAGCAACGGAUCU
This 188-nucleotide unclassified non-coding RNA is filed under the name soil metagenome. RNAcentral's name for it is "partial contains 5.8S ribosomal RNA, internal transcribed spacer 2, and large subunit ribosomal RNA". The record is from RNAcentral.